GAUGAACGCUGGCGGCGUGCCUAAUACAUGCAAGUCGAGCGAACGGACGAGAAGCUUGCUUCUCUGAUGUUAGCGGCGGACGGGUGAGUAACACGUGGAUAACCUACCUAUAAGACUGGGAUAACUUCGGGAAACCGGAGCUAAUACCGGAUAAUAUUUUGAACCGCAUGGUUCAAAAGUGAAAGACGGUCUUGCUGUCACUUAUAGAUGGAUCCGCGCUGCAUUAGCUAGUUGGUAAGGUAACGGCUUACCAAGGCAACGAUGCAUGGCCGACCUGAGAGGGUGAUCGGCCACACUGGAACUGAGACACGGUCCAGACUCCUACGGGAGGCAGCAGUAGGGAACCUUCCGCAAUGGGCGAAAGCCUGACGGAGCAACGCCGCGUGAGUGAUGAAGGUCUUCGGAUCGUAAAACUCUGUUAUUAGGGAAGAACAUAUGUGUAAGUAACUGUGCACAUCUUGACGGUACCUAAUCAGAAAGCCACGGCUAACUACGUG
Molecule: ribosomal RNA, 497 nt
Filed under: uncultured bacterium
Lineage: Bacteria
Description: partial 16S ribosomal RNA
Rfam family: Bacterial small subunit ribosomal RNA
Source: RNAcentral